This 407-nucleotide ribosomal RNA is filed under the name uncultured bacterium. RNAcentral's name for it is "bacterial SSU rRNA". It matches the Rfam family "Bacterial small subunit ribosomal RNA", at positions 354 to 776 of the family's 1533-position model. The record is from RNAcentral.
GUGGGGAAUAUUGCGCAAUGGCCGAAAGGCUGACGCAGCGACGCCGCGUGCGGGAUGAAGGCCCUCGGGUCGUAAACCGCUGUCAGGAGGGACGAAACUCUGACGGUACCUCCAGAGGAAGCACCGGCUAACUCCGUGCCAGCAGCCGCGGUAAUACGGAGGGUGCGAGCGUUGUCCGGAAUCACUGGGCGUAAAGGGCGCGUAGGCGGCGCAGUAAGUAGGGGGUGAAAUCUCACGGCUCAACCGUGAAACUGCCUCCUAAACUGCUGUGCUUGAGCACGGUAGAGGCAGAUGGAAUUCCCGGUGUAGCGGUGGAAUGCGUAGAUAUCGGGAAGAACACCAGUGGCGAAGGCGGUCUGCUGGGCCGUUGCUGACGCUGAGGCGCGACAGCGUGGGGAGCAAACAGG